UACGUAGGGUGCAAGCGUUGUCCGGAAUUAUUGGGCGUAAAGAGCUCGUAGGCGGUCUGUCGCGUCGGCUGUGAAAUCCCGAGGCUCAACCUCGGGUCUGCAGUCGAUACGGGCAAACUGGAGUGUUGCAGGGGAGACUGGAAUUCCUGGUGUAGCGGUGAAAUGCGUAGAUAUCGGGAGGAACACCUGCGGUGAAGACGGCUUACUGGACCGCCACUGACGCUGAGGCACGAAAGCGUGGGUAGCAAACAGG
RNAcentral lists this ribosomal RNA (253 nucleotides) under uncultured bacterium. RNAcentral's name for it is "partial 16S ribosomal RNA". It matches the Rfam family "Bacterial small subunit ribosomal RNA", at positions 524 to 776 of the family's 1533-position model. The record is from RNAcentral.